RNAcentral lists this ribosomal RNA (29 nucleotides) under Vincetoxicum indicum. RNAcentral's name for it is "partial 26S ribosomal RNA". RNAcentral also lists the same sequence under 2 other names. The record is from RNAcentral. Lineage: Eukaryota; Viridiplantae; Streptophyta; Magnoliopsida; Gentianales; Apocynaceae.
AUCGCAACGAUUGCGACCCCGGGUCAGGC